This 359-nucleotide RNase P RNA is filed under the name uncultured Alloprevotella sp. RNAcentral describes it as "Bacterial RNase P class A". It matches the Rfam family "Bacterial RNase P class A". From Rfam's summary of the family: Ribonuclease P (RNase P) is a ubiquitous endoribonuclease, found in archaea, bacteria and eukarya as well as chloroplasts and mitochondria. Lineage: Bacteria; Pseudomonadati; Bacteroidota; Bacteroidia; Bacteroidales; Prevotellaceae. The record is from RNAcentral.
GUCGGAUGGUCCGUCGCGUACAUUUAUAUAAUGUAGGAGGAAAGUCCGGGCAGCAUAGGGCAAAUCGCUUCUUAAUGGGAAGUUGUCUGUGAAGGCAAAUUCGUGUAGAAGAAAAUAACCGCCUUAUAUUUAAUAUAAGGUAAGGGUGAGAAGGUGAGGUAAGAGCUUACCGGUUGUGGGGUGACUCACAAGCCGUACACAUCGAUUGCUGAAAGUUCAUGUAAACUGGCGUUAGAGGGCGGCCCGUCCGAGCGUAGCGCGCCAGAGGGUGGAACGAUACAGUUUAUUGGUGACAAUAAAUGCGGAUAAAUGACGGACACACUCUUUUGUGUACAGAACCCGGCUUAUAGUUCGACUGC